GACGAACGCUGGCGGCGUGCUUAACACAUGCAAGUCGAACGGAAAGGCCCUGCUCUUGUGGGGUGCUCGAGUGGCGAAAGGGUGAGUAACACGCGAGUAACAUGCGCUUGACUUUGGGAUACAUUCAGGAAACUGGGGCGAAUAUCGGACAGGAGCUCCUGAAGCACGGUGGGGGUUGGAAAGAUUCGGAGGUUGGGGAUGGACUCGCGUCCUAUCAGCUUGUUGGUGGGGUAGUGGCUUACCAAGGCAUUGAGGGGUAGCCGGCCUGGGAGGGUGACCGGCCACAUUGGGUCUGAGAUACGGCCGAGGCGACUACGGGAGGCAGGAGUGGAGAAUGUUCCACAAUGGGCGGAAGCCUGAUGCAGGAACUCCGCGCGCGGGACGACGGCCGUCGGGUUGUAAGCCGGUGUCGCCUGAGACGAAGCGUAGGUGACGUUAAUGGGUAGAGAAGCACCGCCUAACUAGGU
This 467-nucleotide ribosomal RNA is filed under the name uncultured bacterium. RNAcentral's name for it is "partial 16S ribosomal RNA". It matches the Rfam family "Bacterial small subunit ribosomal RNA", at positions 28 to 506 of the family's 1533-position model. The record is from RNAcentral.